Molecule: ribosomal RNA, 427 nt
Filed under: uncultured bacterium
Lineage: Bacteria
Description: partial 16S ribosomal RNA
Rfam family: Bacterial small subunit ribosomal RNA
Source: RNAcentral
UAGGGAAUCUUCGGCAAUGGACGAAAGUCUGACCGAGCAACGCCGCGUGAGUGAAGAAGGUUUUCGGAUCGUAAAACUCUGUUGGUAGAGAAGAACGUUGGUGAGAGUGGAAAGCUCAUCAAGUGACGGUAACUACCCAGAAAGGGACGGCUAACUACGUGCCAGCAGCCGCGGUAAUACGUAGGUCCCGAGCGUUGUCCGGAUUUAUUGGGCGUAAAGCGAGCGCAGGUGGUUUAUUAAGUCUGGUGUAAAAGGCAGUGGCUCAACCAUUGUAUGCAUUGGAAACUUGUAGACUUGAGUGCAGGAGAGGAGAUUGGAAUUCCAUGUGUAGCGGUGAAAUGCGUAGAUAUAUGGAGGAACACCGGUGGCGAAAGCGGCUCUCUGGCCUGUAACUGACACUGAGGCUCGAAAGCGUGGGGAGCAAACA